RNAcentral lists this ribosomal RNA (590 nucleotides) under uncultured delta proteobacterium. RNAcentral's name for it is "bacterial SSU rRNA". It matches the Rfam family "Bacterial small subunit ribosomal RNA", at positions 254 to 856 of the family's 1533-position model. RNAcentral also lists the same sequence under 1 other name. Lineage: Bacteria; Deltaproteobacteria. The record is from RNAcentral.
AGGGUAAUGGCUUACCAAGGCUACGAUAGGUAUCUGGUCUGAGAGGAUGAUCAGCCACACUGGACUGUACACGGUCCAGACUCCCACGGGAGGCAGCAGUUGGGAAUAUUGCAACAAUGGGGUCACGCCUGAUGCAGCAAUCCCGCGUGAGUGAUGAAGGCCUUCGGGUCGUAAAGCUCUUUUGGCAGGGAAGAAGGGAAACUUGACGGUACCUGCAGAAGAAGCACCGGCUAACUACGUGCCAGCAGCCGCGGUAAUACGUAGGGUGCAAGCGUUGCUCGGAAUCAUUGGGCGUAAAGCGCGUGUAGGCGGUUUACUAAGUCUGGUGUGAAAUCCUGGAGCUUAACCCCGGAAGUGCACUGGAUACUGUGAAACUAGAGGUACAGGAGAGGGAAGUGGAAUUCCUGGUGUAGGGGUGAAAUCCGUAGAUAUCAGGAGGAACAUCGGUGGCGAAGGCGGCUUCCUGGCUUACUACUGACGCUAAGACGCGAAAGCGUGGGGAGCAAACAGGAUUAGAUACCCUGGUAGUCCACGCCCUAAACGAUGGAUACUAGGUGUGGGAGGUGUAAUACCUUCUGUGCCGAGUCAAC